AAGUCGUAACAAGGUUUCCGUAGGUGAACCUGCGGAAGGAUCAUUACCAUACUUCACAACCACAAAGCCCUGCGCUUUCGAGAGAUUCGCAGGCACUACCACGAGCAAGCGCCGCGCGGUUCCGCGUGGCGUGAGGGAAAGAAUCAUGCUGACAUGAGUGAAUCUUUCCAGCGCCGUUCCCCACCCUCCGUGGGUGGGAGCUCUGAGAACGGACUCGGUUCUUUACCGAACCCUGUGCUUGAAAAGGAACAACAAUAACGUACAACUGCAAACGGUGGAUCACUCGGCUC
This 290-nucleotide unclassified non-coding RNA is filed under the name fungal sp. Its description in RNAcentral is "partial internal transcribed spacer region". The stretch from base 1 to 46 matches the Rfam family "Eukaryotic small subunit ribosomal RNA", at positions 1786 to 1831 of the family's 1831-position model. Lineage: Eukaryota; Fungi. The record is from RNAcentral.